GUGCCAGCAGCCGCGGUAAUACGUAGGGGGCAAGCGUUGUCCGGAAUUAUUGGGCGUAAAGCGCGCGCAGGCGGUCCUUUAAGUCUGAUGUGAAAGCCCACGGCUCAACCGUGGAGGGUCAUUGGAAACUGGGGGACUUGAGUGCAGAAGAGGAGAGUGGAAUUCCAUGUGUAGCGGUGAAAUGCGUAGAGAUAUGGAGGAACACCAGUGGCGAAGGCGACUCUCUGGUCUGCAACUGACGCUGAGGCGCGAAAGCGUGGGGAGCAAACAGGAUUAGAUACCCUGGUAGUCC
RNAcentral lists this ribosomal RNA (292 nucleotides) under uncultured microorganism. Its description in RNAcentral is "partial 16S ribosomal RNA". It matches the Rfam family "Bacterial small subunit ribosomal RNA", at positions 505 to 796 of the family's 1533-position model. The record is from RNAcentral.